RNAcentral lists this long non-coding RNA (369 nucleotides) under Ursus maritimus (polar bear). Its description in RNAcentral is "lncRNA (ENSUMAG00000009555.1)". The record is from RNAcentral. Lineage: Eukaryota; Metazoa; Chordata; Mammalia; Carnivora; Ursidae.
AUGGUAUGGAAGAGACCAGCUUUUGCUGUUGGAGGGACUGGUUUUUAUACAGGACUCGAGCUUCAGACAGACGUGGGUAUCAAUGUCCCCCAAGGCUCGUUCCCUCCUCUAGCUACUGGAUACCAGAAGACCCUUAGGACAGAGGUCCCCUCGACCACGCACCUGAUGACCCAACAUGCACUUGCAACACCAUGCUCAUGCAGGGAGAAACUUCACGUCCUGUUCUCAUACGAGGAACAGGCGUGCACGGACGUGACGCAUGAAUGCAAACAAUGGCCCUUAAAUGUUGUUCACCUUCAGAAAGCCGUUGGUGUGCCUGAUUUCAACUGGUCUCCUUGCCAUGUGCUUUUUCUUACUCCAACGCGAUAA